AAUUUGGAUUAAUACCUCAUAGUAUAAUGACUCGGCAUCGAGAUAUUAUUAAAGUCACAACGGUAAAACAUGAGCAUGCGUCCCAUUAGCUAGUUGGUAAGGUAACGGCUUACCAAGGCUACGAUGGGUAGGGGUCCUGAGAGGGAGAUCCCCCACACUGGUACUGAGACACGGACCAGACUCCUACGGGAGGCAGCAGUGAGGAAUAUUGGACAAUGGGCGCAAGCCUGAUCCAGCCAUGCCGCGUGCAGGAUGACGGUCCUAUGGAUUGUAAACUGCUUUUAUACGAGAAGAAACACUCCGACGUGUCGGAGCUUGACGGUAUCGUAAGAAUAAGGAUCGGCUAACUCCGUGCCAGCAGCCGCGGUAAUACGGAGGAUCCAAGCGUUAUCCGGAAUCAUUGGGUUUAAAGGGUCCGUAGGCGGUUUAAUAAGUCAGUGGUGAAAGCCCAUCGCUCAACGGUGGAACGGCCAUUGAUACUGUUAAACUUGAAUUAUUAGGAAGUAACUAGAAUAUGUAGUGUAGCGGUGAAAUGCUUAGAGAUUACAUG
This 550-nucleotide ribosomal RNA is filed under the name Flavobacterium sp. B28(2015). Its description in RNAcentral is "bacterial SSU rRNA". It matches the Rfam family "Bacterial small subunit ribosomal RNA", at positions 155 to 703 of the family's 1533-position model. The record is from RNAcentral. Lineage: Bacteria; Pseudomonadati; Bacteroidota; Flavobacteriia; Flavobacteriales; Flavobacteriaceae.